Molecule: non-coding RNA, 865 nt
Organism: Drosophila virilis
Lineage: Eukaryota; Metazoa; Arthropoda; Insecta; Diptera; Drosophilidae
Source: RefSeq, a predicted model, not a curated record
AAAGCUCUCUCGCGAAAGCUUUGCUGCACUCGCGCACACACACACGCACUUGAGUUGCGAUCAGCUGAGCGCAGCUUAAGUUUUGCAAGAACUUGUUCUCACGCACUGCACGCGGUAAUUUUUUUUGUUAAAAUAUUGUUAAUUUGUAUAACACUCCGGCUGCCAGAGGCAGCAGUUGCGUAUAGUUUACCCACUAUAAGCGGGAUUUGUAUGGAUUGCCCUGGGGCGGGCUUUAUACAGUGUCAAUGUCACUUUCUUGGUUUAUGCCUGCUGCCAGCGGUGCACUAACGCGCACACACACACGAGACUGCAAUUUUCACGUCCGAUCUCCAGAGAAACACAAACAAUUUGAAGCGUCGCCUUUUGGUUUAUUUCUAAAUUCCACAAAUGUGUGUGCCAUAAACUCCCUCAAGAUGCCUGCCUAAGACUUCCCAUUCAUUAAAAGCUUUUAUUUAAUUUUCUAUGAAAUUCUAUUCACAAAUUCAAAAACAGAAACGCGUUUCUUUUCUUUUCUUUGGCUAAUGGUUAAAAUCCGUAGGAGUUUAUUUACUUUUGGCAAAUCACAAAAAAUGACGGCACCAGAAAAAAAGUAAAAUUUUUUAAAUUAAAAAAAAAAAUACUGACUACAAUAUACUCUGUUUUGGAGUGAGGAAAUCUAAUUGGUUACUUGUAAAAUAAAUUUGUGGGACUUGUAGAUAGAUAUUUUUCAGAUUUAUAAGGUCGAAAUUCGAAUAGCUCGGCCCGGUAUACCUCGCUUUUACUUAUUCCGCAAUACAAAGUAUAAAAACAAGAAGAAACGAUGUAGAAAUCUAAAAUGCCAAAUAAAACAAAAAACAAUUUACAGUGACUGACGCUGCAACAUAAA